UACAGAGGUCUCGAGCGUUAGGCGGAAUCACUGGGCUUAAAGCGUGUGUAGGCGGAUCGGUAAGUACCUUGUGAAAUCCCACAGCUUAACUGUGGAACUGCUUGGUAUACUGCCAGUCUUGAGCCAGCUAGGGGCUACCGGAACAAAUGGUGGAGCGGUGAAAUGCGUAGAUAUUGGGAAGAACACCUGAGGCGAAGGCGGGAUGCUGGGCCGACACUGACGCUGAGGCGCGAAAGCCAGGGGAGCAAACGGG
RNAcentral lists this ribosomal RNA (253 nucleotides) under uncultured bacterium. RNAcentral's name for it is "partial 16S ribosomal RNA". It matches the Rfam family "Bacterial small subunit ribosomal RNA", at positions 524 to 776 of the family's 1533-position model. The record is from RNAcentral.